This 499-nucleotide ribosomal RNA is filed under the name uncultured Actinomycetes bacterium. RNAcentral describes it as "bacterial SSU rRNA". It matches the Rfam family "Bacterial small subunit ribosomal RNA", at positions 8 to 523 of the family's 1533-position model. Lineage: Bacteria; Bacillati; Actinomycetota; Actinomycetes. The record is from RNAcentral.
AGAGUUUGAUUCUGGCUCAGGACGAACGCUGGCGGCGUGCUUAACACAUGCAAGUCGAACGGUGACGCACCUUCGGGUGCCGAUCAGUGGCGAACGGGUGAGUAACACGUGGGCAACCUGCCCCUGACUUCGGGAUAACCCCUCGAAAGAGGAGCUAAUACCGGAUAUCAUCGCCCCAGGCAUCUGGGGCGGUCGAAAGUUUUUCGGUCAGGGAUGGGCCCGCGGCCUAUCAGCUUGUUGGUGGGGUGACGGCCCACCAAGGCGACGACGGGUAGCCGGCCUGAGAGGGCGACCGGCCACACUGGGACUGAGACACGGCCCAGACUCCUACGGGAGGCAGCAGUGGGGAAUAUUGCGCAAUGGGCGAAAGCCUGACGCAGCAACGCCGCGUGAGGGAUGAAGGUUCUCGGAUCGUAAACCUCUUUCAGCAGGGACGAAGCGAAAGUGACUGUACCUGCAGAAGAAGCGCCGGCUAACUACGUGCCAGCCGCCGCGGUAA